Molecule: ribosomal RNA, 232 nt
Filed under: uncultured bacterium
Lineage: Bacteria
Description: partial 16S ribosomal RNA
Rfam family: Bacterial small subunit ribosomal RNA
Source: RNAcentral
CGGACGGGUGAGUAAUGUAUGGGGAUCUGCCUGGUGGCGGGGGAUAACUACUGGAAACGGUAGCUAAUACCGCAUAAUGUCUGCGGACCAAAGCGGGGGACCUCCGGGCCUCGCGCCAUCAGAUGAACCCAUAUGGGAUUAGCUUGUAGGUAAGGUAACGGCUUACCUAGGCGACGAUCCCUAGCUGGUCUGAGAGGAUGAUCAGCCACACUGGGACUGAGACACGGCCCAG